GAUCUGCUCAGGCUGGACACCACCUUAGCUUGCUCUUCUUGGAUGAGUUGCGAACGGGUGAGUAACGCGUAGGUAACCUGCCUGGUAGCGGGGGAUAACUAUUGGAAACGAUAGCUAAUACCGCAUGAAAUUGAAUAUCGCAUGAUACUUAAUUGAAAGAUGCAACUGCAUCACUACCAGAUGGACCUGCGUUGUAUUAGCUAGUUGGUGAGGUAACGGCUCACCAAGGCGACGAUACAUAGCCGACCUGAGAGGGUGAUCGGCCACACUGGGACUGAGACACGGCCCAGACUCCUACGGGAGGCAGCAGUAGGGAAUCUUCGGCAAUGGGGGGAACCCUGACCGAGCAACGCCGCGUGAGUGAAGAAGGUUUUCGGAUCGUAAAGCUCUGUUGUAAGAGAAGAACGGGUGUGAGAGUGGAAAGUUCACACUGUGACGGUAUCUUACCAGAAAGGGACGGCUAACUACGUGCCAGCAGCCGCGGUAAUACGUAGGUCCCGAGCGUUGUCCGGAUUUAUUGGGCGUAAAGCGAGCGCAGGCGGUUAGAUAAGUCUGAAGUUAAAGGCUGUGGCUUAACCAUAGUAUGCUUUGGAAACUGUUUAACUUGAGUGCAGAAGGGGAGAGUGGAAUUCCAUGUGUAGCGGUGAAAUGCGUAGAUAUAUGGAGGAACACCGGUGGCGAAAGCGGCUCUCUGGUCUGUAACUGACGCUGAGGCUCGAAAGCGUGGGGAGCAAACAGGAUUAGAUACCCUGGUAGUCCACGCCGUAAACGAUGAGUGCUAGGUGUUAGGCCCUUUCCGGGGCUUAGUGCCGCAGCUAACGCAUUAAGCACUCCGCCUGGGGAGUACGACCGCAAGGUGAAACUCAAAGGAAUUGACGGGCCCGCACAAGCGGUGGAGCAUGUGGUUUAAUUCAAGCAACGCGAAAACCUUACCAGGUCUUGACAUCCCUCUGACCGCUCUAGAGAU
This 967-nucleotide ribosomal RNA is filed under the name Streptococcus sanguinis. Its description in RNAcentral is "bacterial SSU rRNA". It matches the Rfam family "Bacterial small subunit ribosomal RNA", at positions 64 to 1007 of the family's 1533-position model. The record is from RNAcentral. Lineage: Bacteria; Bacillati; Bacillota; Bacilli; Lactobacillales; Streptococcaceae.